UGAGCAAUCUGCCCUUCACUUCGGGAUAACUCCAGGAAACCGGUGCUAAUACCGAAUACGACCACCUCAGGCAUCUGAUGGUGGUGGAAAGUUCCGGCGGUGGAGGAUGAGCUCGCGGCCUAUCAGCUUGUUGGUGGGGUAAUGGCCCACCAAGGCGACGAUAAGUAGCUGGUCUGAGAGGAUGAUCAGCCACACUGGGACUGAGACACGGCCCAGAUCCCGUAACGGGG
This 230-nucleotide ribosomal RNA is filed under the name uncultured bacterium. RNAcentral's name for it is "partial 16S ribosomal RNA". It matches the Rfam family "Bacterial small subunit ribosomal RNA", at positions 118 to 346 of the family's 1533-position model. The record is from RNAcentral.